This 530-nucleotide ribosomal RNA is filed under the name uncultured bacterium. RNAcentral describes it as "bacterial SSU rRNA". It matches the Rfam family "Bacterial small subunit ribosomal RNA", at positions 355 to 896 of the family's 1533-position model. The record is from RNAcentral.
UGGGGAAUAUUGCACAAUGGGCGGAAGCCUGAUGCAGCGACGCCGCGUGGGGGAUGAAGGCCUUCGGGUUGUAAACUCCUUUCGACAGGGACGAAGCUUUUGUGACGGUACCUGUAUAAGAAGCACCGGCUAACUACGUGCCAGCAGCCGCGGUAAUACGUAGGGUGCGAGCGUUGUCCGGAAUUACUGGGCGUAAAGAGCUCGUAGGUGGUUUGUCGCGUCGUCUGUGAAAUUCCGGGGCUUAACUCCGGGCGUGCAGGCGAUACGGGCUGACUUGGGUGCUGUAGGGGAGACUGGAAUUCCUGGUGUAGCGGUGAAAUGCGCAGAUAUCAGGAGGAACACCGAUGGCGAAGGCAGGUCUCUGGGCAGUAACUGACGCUGAGGAGCGAAAGCAUGGGUAGCGAACAGGAUUAGAUACCCUGGUAGUCCAUGCCGUAAACGGUGGGCGCUAGGUGUAGGGGGCUUCCACGUCUUCUGUGCCGUAGCUAACGCAUUAAGCGCCCCGCCUGGGGAGUACGGCCGCAAGGCUA